Molecule: small nucleolar RNA, 96 nt
Organism: Hyla sarda
Lineage: Eukaryota; Metazoa; Chordata; Amphibia; Anura; Hylidae
Product: small nucleolar RNA U13
Exons: 1
Source: RefSeq, a predicted model, not a curated record
AUCCUUCUGGUUCUGAAGUGUGAUGAAUGGGUGUUCACACGGCUGUGUGACAUGUGCGGCCUUCUGUUACGACUGAUGCACAUUACCCUUCUGAUA